RNAcentral lists this ribosomal RNA (540 nucleotides) under Candidozyma auris. Its description in RNAcentral is "[Candida] auris partial large subunit ribosomal RNA". It matches the Rfam family "Eukaryotic large subunit ribosomal RNA", at positions 52 to 658 of the family's 3401-position model. Lineage: Eukaryota; Fungi; Ascomycota; Pichiomycetes; Serinales; Metschnikowiaceae. The record is from RNAcentral.
GGAGGAAAAGAAACCAACAGGGAUUGCCUCAGUAACGGCGAGUGAAGCGGCAAGAGCUCAACUUUGGAAUCGCUCCGGCGAGUUGUAGUCUGGAGGUGGCCACCACGAGGUGUUUUAGCAGCAGGCAAGUCCUUUGGAACAAGGCGCCAGCGAGGGUGACAGCCCCGUACCUGCUUUUGCUAGUGCUUCCUGUGGCCCACCGACGAGUCGAGUUGUUUGGGAAUGCAGCUCUAAGUGGGUGGUAAAUUCCAUCUAAGGCUAAAUAUUGGCGAGAGACCGAUAGCGAACAAGUACAGUGAUGGAAAGAUGAAAAGCACUUUGAAAAGAGAGUGAAACAGUACGUGAAAUUGUUGAAAGGGAAGGGCUUGCACCCAGACACGGUUUUACCGGGCCAGCAUCAAGUAGAACGGGGUUAAAAGACCUGGGGAAUGUAGCUACCUCUUGGUAGUGUUAUAGCCCUUGGGUGAUGACCCCCGUUUUGCUUGAAGGACAGCGGUCUCUAGGAUGCUGGCGCAAUGGUUGCAAGCCACCCGUCUUGAA